RNAcentral lists this ribosomal RNA (305 nucleotides) under uncultured bacterium. RNAcentral describes it as "partial 16S ribosomal RNA". It matches the Rfam family "Bacterial small subunit ribosomal RNA", at positions 506 to 809 of the family's 1533-position model. The record is from RNAcentral.
ACAGCAGUAGCCGCGGUAAUACGUAGGUGGCAAGCGUUGUCCGGAAUUAUUGGGCGUAAAGGGCUCGCAGGCGGUUUCUUAAGUCUGAUGUGAAAGCCCCCGGCUCAACCGGGGAGGGUCAUUGGAAACUGGGAAACUUGAGUGCAGAAGAGGAGAGUGGAGUUCCACGUGUAGCGGUGAAAUGCGUAGAGAUGUGGAGGAACACCAGUGGCGAAGGCGACUCUCUGGUCUGUAACUGACGCUGAGGAGCGAAAGCGUGGGGAGCGAACAGGAUUAGAUACCCGCGUAGUCCCUGUCUCUUAUAA